This 83-nucleotide transfer RNA is filed under the name Paludisphaera borealis. RNAcentral's name for it is "tRNA-Thr". The record is from RNAcentral. Lineage: Bacteria; Pseudomonadati; Planctomycetota; Planctomycetia; Isosphaerales; Isosphaeraceae.
AUCGUGAAUGGCGAGCUGGAUCGUGCUUCGACCUUGUGGGUCGAGGCGAAUCGGACGGACGGGUCUUGGUCGCUCAACGGUUC